This is a long non-coding RNA of Pimephales promelas (fathead minnow), 877 nucleotides long. RefSeq lists it as uncharacterized. The record is from RefSeq and is a predicted model, not a curated record. NCBI's taxonomy places the organism in Eukaryota, Metazoa, Chordata, Actinopteri, Cypriniformes, Leuciscidae.
AGAGGAGUGAGAACGUUCGAGAAAGAUUUCGAGAGGGUUUCAAGACACAGUUUCAGCGAUGUCUUUGAGUGUUUAAAACAAGAAUCUGUCCUGUAAUCAGAACUACUGCUCGUAUUUCUUCGCAAAGGAAGUGACUUAUUAAAACUUUGGACUAUUUUAUACUUUCGUUUCCCGGGUUGGAGAUGUCGGUGAGCGUCGUCCAGUGACAUGGUGAGAAUCCGACGCCCAGGCCUGUUGUGCACGGAGACAUUGCAGCACGUGGGACUCAGGACCAUUUCAGUGUGGUGAAUGUGAAUCUGUUUCAACGCACACUAGCAACCAGAUUGAGAUGAUGUAGUCGAAAUCUGAUGGGCUGGUUACAAUGGCAAAGCCGCCUUCUGUGUUUCUGCUUUAAUUAAACGCGCUCUAAGAGGAGUGAUGGCACUGCAGCCCCAUUGUGUCAGUUUCCAGGAUGCAGAUCUAGGGAAGUGGCUGAUGCAGACUUUUUACACUCCGUUUUGACAAUGUACACAUUAUGCCUCAGUGUACACAAGUGUCUUUCUAUUUGCUUUCAUCAGAGUUGGGGGGGUAAAGGGGGUGACCCAUUUCUUGAAAACUGUAGGAUAUGCCUCAGGAAACUGAUUGUAGUGUCUAUGCAAGGAGCGUUGGUAGGUAUGCAUGUUGCACUCCAUCUUAUGAAGAAAACUGCUUGGAAAUAUUGGAGUCAAUGUACUUGGACUUUUCUCUUAGUCAAGUACAGCUAAGUGUAAUUUUAAGUAUGUUUCUGAGAAGUAUAUAAUAUGAAAGUAUACUUUCUUAUUUUCCAGUUUAAAAUAAGUAUAGUAAUUUGAAUAAUCUUCUUUUUUGUUAGGGUGUUCAUUUUUAUUUAUUGAAAAAA